AUUGAACGCUGGCGGCAGGCUUAACACAUGCAAGUCGAGCGGGGUGAUGGUGCUUGCACUAUCACUUAGCGGCGGACGGGUGAGUAAUGCUUAGGAAUCUGCCUAUUAGCGGGGGACGACAUCUCGAAAGGGGUGCUAAUACCGCAUACGUCCUACGGGAGAAAGCAGGGGAUCACUCGUGACCUUGCGCUAAUAGAUGAGCCUAAGUCGGAUUAGCUAGUUGGUGGGGUAAAGGCCUACCAAGGCGACGAUCUGUAGCGGGUCUGAGAGGAUGAUCCGCCACACUGGGACUGAGACACGGCCCAGACUCCUACGGGAGGCAGCAGUGGGGAAUAUUGGACAAUGGGGGGAACCCUGAUCCAGCCAUGCCGCGUGUGUGAAGAAGGCCUUAUGGUUGUAAAGCACUUUAAGCGAGGAGGAGGCUCUUUUGGUUAAUACCCAAGAUGAGUGGACGUUACUCGCAGAAUAAGCACCGGCUAACUCUGUGCCAGCAGCCGCGGUAA
RNAcentral lists this ribosomal RNA (503 nucleotides) under uncultured bacterium. RNAcentral describes it as "partial 16S ribosomal RNA". It matches the Rfam family "Bacterial small subunit ribosomal RNA", at positions 30 to 523 of the family's 1533-position model. The record is from RNAcentral.